GACGAACCGUCCGAACGUUAUUCGGAAUCACUGGGCUUAAAGGGUGCGUAGGCGGCGCGGAAAGUUGGGUGUGAAAUCCCUCGGCUUAACCGAGGAACGGCGCCCAAAACUACCGUGCUCGAGGGAGAUAGAGGUGAGCGGAACUUAGGGUGGAGCGGUGAAAUGCGUUGAUAUCCUAAGGAACACCGGUGGCGAAAGCGGCUCACUGGAUCUCUUCUGACGCUGAUGCACGAAAGCGUGGGGAGCAAACAGG
Molecule: ribosomal RNA, 253 nt
Filed under: uncultured bacterium
Lineage: Bacteria
Description: partial 16S ribosomal RNA
Rfam family: Bacterial small subunit ribosomal RNA
Source: RNAcentral